RNAcentral lists this ribosomal RNA (428 nucleotides) under uncultured bacterium. RNAcentral describes it as "partial 16S ribosomal RNA". It matches the Rfam family "Bacterial small subunit ribosomal RNA", at positions 354 to 796 of the family's 1533-position model. The record is from RNAcentral.
GUGGGGAAUAUUGGGCAAUGGGCGAAAGCCUGACCCAGCAACGCCGCGUGAAGGAAGAAGGUUUUCGGAUUGUAAACUUCUGUCCUCAGGGAAGAAGGAAGUGACGGUACCUGAGGAGGAAGACCCGGCUAACUACGUGCCAGCAGCCGCGGUAAUAUGUAGGGGGCGAGCGUUGUCCGGAAUGACUGGGCGUAAAGGGCGCGUAGACGGUUUUGUAAGUCUGGAGUGAAAGUCCUGCUUUCAAGGUGGGAAUUGCGUUGGAGACUGGGGGACUUGAGUGCGGAAGAGGUAAGUGGAAUUCCCAGUGUAGCGGUGAAAUGCGUAGAGAUUGGGAAGAACACCAGUGGCGAAGGCGACUUACUGGGCCGUAACUGACGUUGAUGCGCGAAAGCGUGGGGAGCGAACAGGAUUAGAAACCCUGGUAGUCC